Oreochromis aureus is the source of this 116-nucleotide small nuclear RNA. Its record names the gene U5. It matches the Rfam family "U5 spliceosomal RNA". Rfam says of the family: U5 RNA is a component of both types of known spliceosome. NCBI's taxonomy places the organism in Eukaryota, Metazoa, Chordata, Actinopteri, Cichliformes, Cichlidae. The record is from Ensembl.
ACACUCUGGCUUCUCUUCAUAACGUACAAGUCUUUCGCCUUUUACUAAAGACUUCCGUGGAGAGCAGCAGCGUUAAAGAGUUGCACCUAUUUUUGGCAGGGUCUGCCGUCUGGCUG